AUUGAACGCUGGCGGCAGGCCUAACACAUGCAAGUCGAGCGGAUGAGAAGAGCUUGCUCUUCGAUUCAGCGGCGGACGGGUGAGUAAUGCCUAGGAAUCUGCCUGGUAGUGGGGGACAACGUUUCGAAAGGAACGCUAAUACCGCAUACGUCCUACGGAGAAAGCAGGGGACCUUCGGGCCUUGCGCUAUCAGAUGAGCCUAGGUCGGAUUAGCUAGUUGGUGAGGUAAUGGCUCACCAAGGCUACGAUCCGUAACUGGUCUGAGAGGAUGAUCAGUCACACUGGAACUGAGACACGGUCCAGACUCCUACGGGAGGCAGCAGUGGGGAAUAUUGGACAAUGGGCGAAAGCCUGAUCCAGCCAUGCCGCGUGUGUGAAGAAGGUCUUCGGAUUGUAAAGCUCUUUUGUCAGGGAGAAACGUGAGUUCUAAUACAGCUUGCUAAUGACGGUACCUGAAGAAUAAGCUACCGGCUAACUACGUGCCAG
Molecule: ribosomal RNA, 486 nt
Filed under: uncultured bacterium
Lineage: Bacteria
Description: bacterial SSU rRNA
Rfam family: Bacterial small subunit ribosomal RNA
Source: RNAcentral